CACGUAAGGGGCGAGCGUUGUUCGGAAUUAUUGGGCGUAAAGGGCACGCAGGCGGUUAUGCAAGUCUGAUGUGAAAUCUCCGGGCUUAACUCGGAAUCCGCGUUGGAAACUGCAUGACUAGAGUAUUAGAGGGGGAGUCGGAAUUCCUAGUGUAGGGGUGAAAUCUGUUGAUAUUAGGAAGAACACCGGUGGCGAAGGCGGACUCCUGGCUGAAUACUGACGCUGAGGUGCGAAAGCAUAGGGAGCAAACAGG
Molecule: ribosomal RNA, 253 nt
Filed under: uncultured bacterium
Lineage: Bacteria
Description: partial 16S ribosomal RNA
Rfam family: Bacterial small subunit ribosomal RNA
Source: RNAcentral